GACGAACGCUGGCGGCGUGCUUAACACAUGCAAGUCGAACGGAAAGGCCCUGCUUUUGUGGGGUGCUCGAGUGGCGAACGGGUGAGUAACACGUGAGUAACCUGCCCUUGACUUUGGGAUAACUUCAGGAAACUGGGGCUAAUAUCGGAUAGGAGCUCCUGCUGCAUGGUGGGGGUUGGAAAGUUUCGGCGGUUGGGGAUGGACGCGCGGCUUAUCAGCUUGUUGGUGGGGGAGUGGCUUACCAAGGCUUUGGCGGGUAGCCGGCCUGAGAGGGUGACCGGCCACAUUAGGACUGAGGUACGGCCCAGACUCCUACGGGAGGCAACGGUGGGGAAUAUUGCACAAUGGGCGGAAGCCUGAUACAGCAACGCCGCGUGCGGGAUGACGGCCUUCGGGUUGUAAACCGCUUUCGCCUGUGACGAAGCGUGAGUGACGGUAAUGGGUAAAGAAGCACCGGCUAACUACGUG
Molecule: ribosomal RNA, 468 nt
Filed under: uncultured bacterium
Lineage: Bacteria
Description: partial 16S ribosomal RNA
Rfam family: Bacterial small subunit ribosomal RNA
Source: RNAcentral